AAGUCGUAACAAGGUCUCCGUUGGUGAACCAGCGGAGGGAUCAUUACAGAGUUGCAAAACUCCCUAAACCAUUGUGAACGUUACCUCCAACCGUUGCUUCGGCGGGCGGCACCGGGUCCCCCCCCGGUGCCCCUCGGCCCUCGCGGGCGCCCGCCGGAGGUUACCAAACUCUUUGAUACCUUAUGGCCUCUCUGAGUCUUCUGUACUGAAUAAGUCAAAACUUUCAACAACGGAUCUCUUGGUUCUG
This 247-nucleotide unclassified non-coding RNA is filed under the name Amesomyces atrobrunneus. Its description in RNAcentral is "Amesia atrobrunnea partial internal transcribed spacer region". The stretch from base 1 to 46 matches the Rfam family "Eukaryotic small subunit ribosomal RNA", at positions 1786 to 1831 of the family's 1831-position model. Lineage: Eukaryota; Fungi; Ascomycota; Sordariomycetes; Sordariales; Chaetomiaceae. The record is from RNAcentral. RNAcentral also lists the same sequence under 1 other name.